UAAAAUUGGAAGGUGGCUCGUCAGUCCUUCGAUUGAGUUGGCUGUUCUUCCCACUUUGGAUACCUUUCUCUUUAGUAGAAAAAAAGUACCAAAAACAACACUAUAUUGCCCUAAAAUUAUUGGGUCAUUCCUUGCAAGAUGCUACUGACUGGUUUUUCAUGACCAAAAAACUAAAUAUUGGUUCUCUCCUUACAGAUUUAGGGCAGGAAACAUUCAGGAGUCUUAUUCCAAGUUAUAUUAGGAAUUCCUAUGUGGCUGUCGUUGUCUAUGAUGUUGCAAGCAGGCAGUCCUUCGUAAAUACUUCAAAGUGGAUUGAAGAGGCAAGUCUCAAUAGAGGAAGCAGAAGCCAAGGCUCGUGACUUGAAUGUUAUGUUUAUUGAAACUAGUGCCAAGGCUGGCUUCAAUAUCAAGGCUCUAUUUCGGAAGAUUGCAGCUGCUUUACCUGGAAUGGAAACACUUUCUUCUACAAAGCAAGAAGAAGACACGGUUGAUGUCAAUCUUAAGUCUACCAAUGCAAAUGCAUCUCAAUCACAGCAACAGUCUGGAGGAUGUGCCUGCUGAUUAGCGCAUCAUUAAUCUUGACUCUAGUUUUAGAGGUUUACAUUUAAGCUCCAGUGAUCCUACAGAAGUGUUGUAAAAAAAUUGCCCUUCCCUUUAUCUGAAGCAUCGGGCUUUUGGGUUUAGUUGUGUUAUGAUAGUUAUAGGCUAGUCCUAACCUGCCCUAUAUAAUGUGAUAUAUCAAACAAACAUUAGUGCCAAAUUUACGUACUGUUAGUCAUCUACUGUUAAAGAAAAUGGGGAAUUGAAAAAUGCUUCAGAUUAGGGAAUUGUGUUUUGUAACUGGGUGUUGAAUUGUUGAGUGAUGCAGUGAUUCCCUUUCUUAGUUCAGAAAA
Molecule: long non-coding RNA, 893 nt
Organism: Gossypium arboreum
Lineage: Eukaryota; Viridiplantae; Streptophyta; Magnoliopsida; Malvales; Malvaceae
Exons: 5
Source: RefSeq, a predicted model, not a curated record